RNAcentral lists this transfer RNA (72 nucleotides) under Cavia porcellus (domestic guinea pig). It matches the Rfam family "tRNA". Rfam says of the family: Transfer RNA (tRNA) molecules are approximately 80 nucleotides in length. Their secondary structure includes four short double-helical elements and three loops (D, anti-codon, and T loops). Lineage: Eukaryota; Metazoa; Chordata; Mammalia; Rodentia; Caviidae. The record is from Rfam by way of RNAcentral.
AGCGAUACAGCUCAGUGGCAGGGCGUUUGCCUAGCACGCACAAGGCCCUGGGAUCAAUUCCCAGUACCACAG